This 76-nucleotide transfer RNA is filed under the name Buchananella hordeovulneris. Its description in RNAcentral is "tRNA-Thr". It matches the Rfam family "tRNA". Rfam says of the family: Transfer RNA (tRNA) molecules are approximately 80 nucleotides in length. Their secondary structure includes four short double-helical elements and three loops (D, anti-codon, and T loops). Lineage: Bacteria; Bacillati; Actinomycetota; Actinomycetes; Actinomycetales; Actinomycetaceae. The record is from RNAcentral.
GCCGCCUUAGCUCAGUUGGUAGAGCGCCCGCCUUGUAAGCGGACGGUCACGGGUUCGAGUCCCGUAGGCGGCUCCA